GCUUGGCCUGGGCCCCCAGUGGGGGGCGGCUGCUCUCAGCUUCACCCGUGGAUGCUGCUAUCCGGGUAUGGGAUGUCUCAACAGAGACCUGUGUCCCCCUUCCCUGGUUUCGAGGAGGUGGGGUGACCAACCUGCUCUGGUCCCCAGACGGCAGCAAAAUCCUGGCUACCACUCCUUCAGCUGUCUUUCGAGUCUGGGAGGCCCAGAUGUGGACUUGUGAGAGGUGGCCUACUCUAUCAGGGCGCUGUCAGACUGGCUGCUGGAGCCCAGAUGGCAGCCGACUGCUGUUCACUGUAUUGGGAGAGCCACUGAUUUACUCCCUGUCUUUUCCAGAACGUUGUGGUGAGGGAAAGGGGUGCGUUGGAGGUGCAAAGUCAGCAACGAUUGUGGCAGAUCUGUCUGAGACAACAAUACAGACACCAGAUGGUGAGGAGAGGCUUGGGGGAGAGGCUCACUCCAUGGUCUGGGACCCCAGUGGGGAACGUCUGGCUGUGCUUAUGAAAGGAAACCCAAGGGUACAGGAUGGUAAACCAGUCAUCCUCCUUUUUCGCACUCGAAACAGCCCUGUGUUUGAGCUCCUUCCCUGGUAAGUGCCAUGUGGGCCCUUAGGUCUGGACUUCUCACCAGCCUUCCUGCACAAACAAACCCACAUCCCACUACAUUCAGCUCCCUUCUCGCCUCCGGUUGCCUGCUCACCUUUUCUUCUAGUGGCAUUAUCCAGGGGGAGCCAGGAGCCCAGCCCCAGCUCAUCACUUUCCAUCCUUCCUUCAACAAAGGGGCCCUGCUCAGUGUGGUGAGUGCGCCAGGCUGCUGGGGCUUCCAGGAGUUGGAUGGAGAAGCUGAGGGCCUUGGCUGCUGUAUGGCUCUGCCAGGUGGCCCUUCUUUGGGCCCAGACUCUGA
This 900-nucleotide small RNA is filed under the name Pan troglodytes (chimpanzee). Its description in RNAcentral is "retained intron". The record is from RNAcentral. Lineage: Eukaryota; Metazoa; Chordata; Mammalia; Primates; Hominidae.